UCGGUUUGGGAACGGCUUUGGGUUUGUGUGCACUUCUGAUUUUCUGUCUCAUUUAUUUCAUACUGAGGAGAAGAAAAUGGGAUAAAAUGAACACUUCUCGAGAAGAUUCUUCAGGAAUGAGGCAGGAAUUUGAGACUGAAACGGUGUAUUACACAGCUUUACAAUUUCCCCUGAGGAAAGCCAAAGCUGAAAAAAGGAAAAUUGUUUUAUCGGAGAAUUGUGUGUACUCUGAUGUGAAAUAAAAUUUUUCUUAUGUAACAUUAAUGAUUGGAGAUUUUACUUCUGUACACAUAUUAAUUUAUAUAUGUAAUGCCACUACCAUUGCACCUGAGUUGAACUAGUCUCUUAAAUUAUUAUUAUUAUUAUUAUUAUUAUUGUUUUUGCUGUUAUUUGUAAGUGCAAUUUAUGUAUAUUUGACUCUACUGGAUUAUUAAAAUGUUGUCCCGUGUCCAGUGGCCUGUUUUAUGACAAUAACAGAGGGUUUUACAAGAUAUUAGGGAAAUAAAACUGUUUUUGAUCAA
Molecule: long non-coding RNA, 521 nt
Organism: Neoarius graeffei (lesser salmon catfish)
Lineage: Eukaryota; Metazoa; Chordata; Actinopteri; Siluriformes; Ariidae
Exons: 3
Source: RefSeq, a predicted model, not a curated record